GCUUCCGUGGCUCAGUUGGUAGAGCAGCACAUUCGUAACGUGCAGGUCGCCGGUUCAAGUCCGGCCGGGAGCUCCA
RNAcentral lists this transfer RNA (76 nucleotides) under Clostridiales bacterium. RNAcentral describes it as "tRNA-Thr". It matches the Rfam family "tRNA". Rfam says of the family: Transfer RNA (tRNA) molecules are approximately 80 nucleotides in length. Lineage: Bacteria; Bacillati; Bacillota; Clostridia; Eubacteriales. The record is from RNAcentral.